This 404-nucleotide ribosomal RNA is filed under the name uncultured eukaryote. Its description in RNAcentral is "bacterial SSU rRNA". It matches the Rfam family "Eukaryotic small subunit ribosomal RNA", at positions 44 to 433 of the family's 1831-position model. The record is from RNAcentral.
UUAAGCCAUGCAAGUGUAAGUAUAAAUAGACAAAUUAUUGUACUAUGAGACUGCGAAUGGCUCAUUAAAUCAGCAAUCAUUUAUUCGGUGGAUGAAGUAAUUCUAAAAUGGAUAACCGUGGGAAAUCUAGAGCUAAUACAUGACAAAAGAGAAUUCUUUAGAAAAAGGAAUGCAUAUAUUAGAUAACAAAUACCAAAAAUACAAAGGUGAAUCAUAAUAUUUAUAGCAAAUUAUACAGAGGAAGUAAUUCUUCUUGAUAAUAAACCGAUCAAAUUUCUGCCCUAUCAUACUUUGGACGGUAAUGUAGUGGAUUACGGUGGUGAUGACGGGUAACGGAGAAUUAGGGUUUGAUUCCGGAGAGGGAGCAUGAGAAAUGGCUACCACUUCCAAGGAAGGCAGCAGGC